Molecule: long non-coding RNA, 1169 nt
Organism: Cryptotermes secundus
Lineage: Eukaryota; Metazoa; Arthropoda; Insecta; Blattodea; Kalotermitidae
Exons: 4
Source: RefSeq, a predicted model, not a curated record
GAAAUUAAAAUUGAGAAAUGUGUGUUGUCAUUGACACCUGUGUUUACGUAGCUGCGAUUGUAUUAUGUGUGCAUGUGACAUGAUCAUGGGUAUAAAAGAAAAUGAAGAUAACCCAGCAAGUGAAUUCAACAAAAUGAAACAUUUACUGCUUCUUAUAUUCUCAGCGUACAUCAUGUACAUGGCAGUUGCAGUUCCGGUGGAGAGACGUUAUUUGGUUGCUUCUCGAGGAAGUGGUAAUAUAACAUUUGUUCCACUUUAUGAAGCGUUGUUUGGCUCCAGGCCCUAUGUUCUCUUUGGCUGAUUACAUUCACUUUGCAUCUUACAAUAAUGAGAGAGUCAUCCUACAGCAGCUACAGUGAAUAAAAUGUUAAUAUAUGAACAUAAAUGACUUUAAGUUUAUUAAACAGUUCCUUGUGUUUCUACCUUUCACCACAUAAAUACAAACACCAGAAUCUGUACUGUACUCCUUUGAAGGUUAGUAUGGUCUGUAAGAAACAAGUUGUGUUAAGAUCCAUUAUUCUGCUGCUUAUUCAUCAUGGCCAAUAACACUGACAUUAACCUGCUAGUAAAUAACCUACCAGUCAGGAAACAUUGUGAGCUGGAUUCAAGACAAGUGUUCAUGAUUCUUGACAUGCAUCAUGAACUGAUUUCUUAAAACCAAGAGUUCAGUUCUCUCAAGAAAACAGAUUAGGAAUUGGUAUGAUUGCAAAUAUAACCAUAAUUAAUUUGAUGCAAAAUUCUUCUUGCUCAUUUAUCAUCAUGCAAGCAGAUGGGUGUGAAAAGUUGAUUUUAUAUGGUAAAAACCAGCAAGGUCAGUUCUUCAACAAUAAAUAAAUAUACUUUGCCUAUUACCUGUUGUUAGUGAACUGAGCUGGGCUCAUAACUGAUAAAAUGAUCAGUUGUACCAGAAUUUUGGGGAUAGCCACAGAUUAAUGUACAAGGUGUUUUAUGAGAAAAGUGCUCACUUGUAGAGCUGUUGUUUCCACCAAAAGAAAUUUAUAAUUCUGAUGACUUCCUUUCCUCGGAGUUUUCUUUUUUUCAUAUUGAUCUUGAUGUUCAUUAUUGCAGAGGCAAAUCUGACAAUUGUUGACAAAGGCAUGAAAUAUUUCUAUUUCAUUAAGUAUGUCAUACAAAAAUAUUGCAAAUAAAAGUUUAAGGCUUUACUGAGA